Molecule: ribosomal RNA, 467 nt
Filed under: uncultured bacterium
Lineage: Bacteria
Description: partial 16S ribosomal RNA
Rfam family: Bacterial small subunit ribosomal RNA
Source: RNAcentral
GACGAACGCUGGCGGCGUGCUUAACACAUGCAAGUCGAACGGAAAGGCCCUGCUUUUGUGGGGUGCUCGAGUGGCGAACGGGUGAGUAACACGUGAGUAACCUGCCCUUGACUUUGGGAUAACUUCAGGAAACUGGGGCUAAUACCGGAUAGGAGCUCCUGCUGCAUGGUGGGGGUUGGAAAGUUUCGGCGGUUGGGGAUGGACUCGCGGCUUAUCAGCUUGUUGGUGGGGUAGUGGCUUACCAAGGCUUUGACGGGUAGCCGGCCUGAGAGGGUGACCGGCCACAUUGGGACUGAGAUACGGCCCAGACUCCUACGGGAGGAAGCAGUGGGGAAUAUUGCACAAUGGGCGGAAGCCUGAUGCAGCAACGCCGCGUGCGGGAUGACGGCCUUCGGGUUGUAAACCGCUUUCGCCUGUGACGAAGCAUGAGUGACGGUAAUGGGUAAAGAAGCACCGGCUAACUACGU